RNAcentral lists this ribosomal RNA (279 nucleotides) under uncultured bacterium. Its description in RNAcentral is "partial 16S ribosomal RNA". It matches the Rfam family "Bacterial small subunit ribosomal RNA", at positions 506 to 784 of the family's 1533-position model. The record is from RNAcentral.
UGCCAGCCGCCGCGGUAAUACGGAGGGUGCGAGCGUUGUUCGGAAUUAUUGGGCGUAAAGAGCAUGUAGGCGGUCUGUUAAGUCUGGUGUGAAAGCCCGGGGCUCAACCCCGGAAAUGCAUUCGAUACUGCCGAGCUAGAGUCCCGGAGAGGAUGGCGGAAUUCCCGGUGUAGAGGUGAAAUUCGUAGAUAUCGGGAGGAACACCAGUGGCGAAGGCGGCUAACUGGCUCGGUACUGACGCUGAGAUGCGAAAGCGUGGGGAGCAAACAGGAUUAGAUA